GAGGGCAUAGCUCAGUGGUAGAGCUCAUGCUUAGCAUGUAUGAGGUCCUGGGUUCAAUCCCCAGUACCUCUC
This 72-nucleotide transfer RNA is filed under the name Camelus bactrianus (Bactrian camel). It matches the Rfam family "tRNA". From Rfam's summary of the family: Transfer RNA (tRNA) molecules are approximately 80 nucleotides in length. Their secondary structure includes four short double-helical elements and three loops (D, anti-codon, and T loops). Lineage: Eukaryota; Metazoa; Chordata; Mammalia; Artiodactyla; Camelidae. RNAcentral also lists the same sequence under 2 other names. The record is from Rfam by way of RNAcentral.